Non-coding RNA from Cajanus cajan (pigeon pea), 447 nucleotides. The record is from RefSeq and is a predicted model, not a curated record. Lineage: Eukaryota; Viridiplantae; Streptophyta; Magnoliopsida; Fabales; Fabaceae.
CCCCAGUGGGCACCAACUACGCAAUGGAAAGUUGGGACACAAGAACCUAUGAGUAACUGCACAUCCCCUAGACGGAUCCCUGCGUUAUCCAGCCCUCAGCGGCACCAAGAUCGAAGAAACGAACCGUCGAAGCAGCAUCGUGGACUGUGGAGACAAAAUCAUCACAAAUCCCUGGAGAGGGCAAACUCACGCUACCAAAGUGACCAGAAGCACGGAGGUAUGCAACCCUGGGGAGGGCAAACCGCAGACCCUGGAGAGGGCAAACUCACGCUACCGAGGUUGUCAGAAACACCGAGGUAUGCACGAGCCUGGAGAGGCGACGACUAAUACUCAACCUGGAGAGGCUACUCAACAAUUUUCCACCGGAAGACACUACAAGUCGGAAGGAUGGCUUACUCCCCGGACAAUUGGGUCAACUCCUUUACUUGUCAACCGGUACACCAAAAA